GGGGCUGUAGCUCAGUUUGGGAGAGCGAUUCGUUCGCAACGAAUAGGUCGGCGGUUCGAUCCCGCUCAGCUCCA
RNAcentral lists this transfer RNA (74 nucleotides) under Bacteroidota bacterium. Its description in RNAcentral is "Bacteroidetes bacterium (wastewater metagenome) tRNA-Ala". It matches the Rfam family "tRNA". Rfam says of the family: Transfer RNA (tRNA) molecules are approximately 80 nucleotides in length. Their secondary structure includes four short double-helical elements and three loops (D, anti-codon, and T loops). Further hydrogen bonds mediate the characteristic L-shaped molecular structure. tRNAs have two regions of fundamental functional importance: the anti-codon, which is responsible for specific mRNA codon recognition, and the 3' end, to which the tRNAs corresponding amino acid is attached (by aminoacyl-tRNA synthetases). tRNAs cope with the degeneracy of the genetic code in two manners: having more than one tRNA (with a specific anti-codon) for a particular amino acid; and 'wobble' base-pairing, i.e. permitting non-standard base-pairing at the 3rd anti-codon position. Lineage: Bacteria; Pseudomonadati; Bacteroidota. The record is from RNAcentral.